This 1089-nucleotide ribosomal RNA is filed under the name Synechococcus sp. A15-48A1. RNAcentral describes it as "bacterial SSU rRNA". It matches the Rfam family "Bacterial small subunit ribosomal RNA", at positions 146 to 1268 of the family's 1533-position model. The record is from RNAcentral. Lineage: Bacteria; Bacillati; Cyanobacteriota; Cyanophyceae; Synechococcales; Synechococcaceae.
ACGGCUGGAACGGCCGCUAAUACCCCAUAUGCCGAGAGGUGAAAUGAAUUUCGCCUGAGGAUGAGCCCGCGUCUGAUUAGCUAGUUGGUGAGGUAAGAGCUCACCAAGGCAUCGAUCAGUACCUGGUCUGAGAGGAUGAUCAGCCACACUGGGACUGAGACACGGCCCACACUCCUACCGGAGGCAGCAGUGGGGAAUUUUCCGCAAUGGGCGAAAGCCUGACGGAGCAACGCCGCGUGAGGGAUGAAGGCCUCUGGGCUGUAAACCUCUUUUCUCAAGGAAGAAGAUCUGACGGUACUUGAGGAAUAAGCCACGGCUAAUUCCGUGCCAGCAGCCGCGGUAAUACGGGAGUGGCAAGCGUUAUCCGGAAUUAUUGGGCGUAAAGCGUCCGCAGGCGGCCCUUCAAGUCUGCUGUUAAAAAGUGGAGCUUAACUCCAUCAUGGCAGUGGAAACUGUUGGGCUUGAGUGUGGUAGGGGCAGAGGGAAUUCCCGGUGUAGCGGUGAAAUGCGUAGAUAUCGGGAAGAACACCAGUGGCGAAGGCGCUCUGCUGGGCCAUAACUGACGCUCAUGGACGAAAGCCAGGGGAGCGAAAGGGAUUAGAUACCCCUGUAGUCCAGGCCGUAAACGAUGAACACUAGGUGUCGGGGGAAUCGACCCCCUCGGUGUCGUAGCCAACGCGUUAAGUGUUCCGCCUGGGGAGUACGCACGCAAGUGUGAAACUCAAAGGAAUUGACGGGGGCCCGCACAAGCGGUGGAGUAUGUGGUUUAAUUCGAUGCAACGCGAAGAACCUUACCAGGGUUUGACAUCCUGCGAACCUCUUGGAAACGAGAGGGUGCCUUCGGGAACGCAGUGACAGGUGGUGCAUGGCUGUCGUCAGCUCGUGUCGUGAGAUGUUGGGUUAAGUCCCGCAACGAGCGCAACCCACGUCUUUAGUUGCCAGCAUUUAGUUGGGCACUCUAGAGAGACCGCCGGUGAUAAACCGGAGGAAGGUGUGGAUGACGUCAAGUCAUCAUGCCCCUUACAUCCUGGGCUACACUAUGUACUACAAUGCUACGGACAAAGAGCAGCAAGUUCGCGAGGACCAAGC